AUAUUUAUAAGUAAAAUCUGCUCAAUGUUAAAUAUAAAUAGCCGCAGAAUUUAACUGUGCUAAGGUAGCAUAAUCAUUUACCUUUUAAUUGAAGGUUUGUAUGAAAGAUUCAACAUUUAAAUACUUUUUUUAUAUAAAUAUAUUAAAAUUAAACUAUACAUAAAAAUGUUUAUAUGAAUAAAAUAGACGACAAGACCCUACUGAACUUCACUAAAGUUUAGCUGGGGAAGCUAGUUAAAAAUUAUUUUAAUUUAAAGUUUUAUAAAAAAAUCUAAUCAAAUUAAAUAUCAAGUUACCAUAGGGAUAACAGCGUAAUAAAUUUUUAAAGCUCUUAUUAAAAAAUAAGAUUACGACCUCGAUGUUGAAUUAAGAUUACUUUUAACCGCAAUAGUACCAAAAGUGGGUCUGU
Molecule: ribosomal RNA, 409 nt
Filed under: Tapinopa guttata
Lineage: Eukaryota; Metazoa; Arthropoda; Arachnida; Araneae; Linyphiidae
Description: partial 16S ribosomal RNA
Source: RNAcentral